ACUAAAAAUGUGCACCUUCUUGCCCGGACAGGGUGCUGGGCUGUGUGGCUGUCCUGAGGAACUGUGAUAGCAACAGCUGUGGUCCUGCAGCAGGUGGGGGGCCCGGGAUCCAGCCUCCCCUCUUCCCUUCCCUGGCAGGGGCCAGGCAUGUGAGGUCUCUGCGGGUCAUGGAGAACCUCCCUGCCGUGACCACUGAGGAGCCGGCCCCCAUGGGGAGGGGUCCUGUGGGACCCUCAGGAGGUGGCAGCAGCCGGGACCAGGUCCGGACUGUGGCCAUGAGGCCCUCUGUGAGCUGGGAGAAAGCGGGGCCCAAGGAGGCCAAGGCACCGGUGAGAGGCGACGAGGCUCCUCCUGCCCGCGUGGCUGGGCCUGCUGCUGGGACCCCUCCCUGCCAGAUGGGGGUUUAUCCCACAGACCUGACCCUGCAGCUGCUGGCUGUGCGGAGGAAGAGCGGACUGCGGGACCCCGGCCUACAGCAGACCCUCCGGGGCCAGCUCCGCCUGCUGGAGAAUGAUAGCCGGGAGAUGGCCCGCGUGCUUGGGG
RNAcentral lists this small RNA (543 nucleotides) under Pan troglodytes (chimpanzee). RNAcentral describes it as "processed transcript". The record is from RNAcentral. Lineage: Eukaryota; Metazoa; Chordata; Mammalia; Primates; Hominidae.